AUGAAGGGUGAAGAUGCUGAUGAUACUUUUAAAUGGAUAUGGAAAUCAUGCUGCCUUCCUAAACACAAAUUUUUCUGCUGGCUUAUCCUUAAUGACAGGAUAAACACAUGUGAUCUCUUAACUAGAAAGAGCAUGCAUCUUGAUUCCACUACAUGUGUGUUGUGUAAUGCUGAAGACAUGGAAGAUAGAAUGCACCUCCUCUUCACUUGUCCAUUUAGUCAAGGUUGUUGGUGGGAUAUUGGAUUUGAAUGGAAUUCAGACUUGGAUAUACACAGAAUGAUCAUGGAUACCAUAGAUACAAAAUCAAACAUUUUUAUGGAAAUUAUGAUAGUGGGUUGCUGGAGUAUUUGGAACCAGAGAAAUGGGAUGAUAUUUGAGGGGAUACCCUGCUCAAUUAAUGAAUGCAAAUAUGUUUUCAUCAGAUUUUUCAAGAUUACCUUGAUGAGAGCCAAACCAUCUCUGAAAGAUGGCAUGUCAUCCUGGAUUGACAACCUUUAA
Molecule: ribosomal RNA, 498 nt
Filed under: Triticum aestivum (bread wheat)
Lineage: Eukaryota; Viridiplantae; Streptophyta; Magnoliopsida; Poales; Poaceae
Description: partial small subunit ribosomal RNA
Source: RNAcentral